GUGGGGGAUAUUGCACAAUGGAGGAAACUCUGAUGCAGCGACGCCGCGUGAGUGAAGAAGUAUUUCGGUAUGUAAAGCUCUAUCAGCAGGGAAGAUAAUGACAGUACCUGACUAAGAAGCCCCGGCUAACUACGUGCCAGCAGCCGCGGUAAUACGUAGGGGGCAAGUGUUAUCCGGAUUUACUGGGUGUAAAGGGAGCGUAGACGGAAUGGCAAGUCUGAAGUGAAAUCCUGCGGCUUAACUGCAGAAUUGCUUGGAAACUGUCAAUCUGGAGUGUUGGAGAGGUAAGCGGAAUUCCUGGUGUAGCGGUGAAAUGCGUAGAUAUCAGGAAGAACACCGGAGGCGAAGGCGGCUUACUGGGAUGCAACUGACGCUCAUGCACGAAAGCGUGGGGAUCAAACAGGAUUAGAUACCCUAGUAGUCC
Molecule: ribosomal RNA, 424 nt
Filed under: uncultured bacterium
Lineage: Bacteria
Description: partial 16S ribosomal RNA
Rfam family: Bacterial small subunit ribosomal RNA
Source: RNAcentral